AUGGAACUAGUUGACAUUUGGGCGCCCAUCUUGGCCGAUCCUCUUCCAAGCCAACAGGCGGAGAUUAAAAUUCAGUCAACAUAUGUAGAUUAUGGCACCAUGGACUUUCAAGCACUCUUAGAAGGACCCCAUGAUUUGGAUAGAUGGCUGAAAGGCGCAUUCAUUCCUACGUACAUAAAGGAGGCGGAUUUAACUCAUGAGAUUGAAUGUAACAUUUGUUCACCAACUAGUGAUCAUGGCAUGAAAAUACAAACACCUAUGCCCGCUCCACCGGAGGCGUUGCCUGAGAAAGAGGAGGCCCCUGUCACCACGACUCUCAACGGUGGAGGAGGAGAAGAGGAGGAGACGAGAGAGGGAGGAGGGGCCAUGUACCCGCCGCCUUGUCAGCAAAGAAGCAGGAGGCUUGCGGCCACCGCCACACCGCCGGUGGAGGGGGCAUGCGAUCUACUAGAUUACGUACCAAAAAGUGGUUGGAGGCAUGGAAGUCGUGUGAGAAGUGCACGGGGGAGAGGAACAUGGUCGAUAAACAUGGAACCAUGCCAAAAACAUGGGCCCAGAAGAAACAAUGACCAUUGGACAUCUGAAGAGGUGAAAGAACUAGUGGAUGGCAUAUCUGCAUAUGGGGCUAGCCAAUGGGCUAAGUUGAAGAACGAAAAGUUUCCAAUAUCAGUUCGAACGGCGGAGCAUCUUAAGGAUAAGUGGAGAAACCUAGUGAAAGCCUUCACGGUCGGGCCCACAUCUAAAAAUCAAGAUUUUAUAUCAUAA
RNAcentral lists this ribosomal RNA (765 nucleotides) under Triticum aestivum (bread wheat). RNAcentral describes it as "partial small subunit ribosomal RNA". The record is from RNAcentral. Lineage: Eukaryota; Viridiplantae; Streptophyta; Magnoliopsida; Poales; Poaceae.